CCUGGCGGCGACAGCGCCGGUGGUCCCAGCCUGACCCCAUGCCGAACUCAGAAGUGAAACGCCGUAGCGCCGAUGGUAGUGUGGGGUCUCCCCAUGCGAGAGUAGGGAACUGCCAGGC
RNAcentral lists this ribosomal RNA (118 nucleotides) under Dickeya dadantii. The record is from RNAcentral. Lineage: Bacteria; Pseudomonadati; Pseudomonadota; Gammaproteobacteria; Enterobacterales; Pectobacteriaceae.